This 1474-nucleotide long non-coding RNA is filed under the name Homo sapiens (human). RNAcentral's name for it is "HSALNT0178003". Lineage: Eukaryota; Metazoa; Chordata; Mammalia; Primates; Hominidae. The record is from RNAcentral.
GCGCCCCCUGCCGUCCCAUCGCGGCGGCGCAAUCCGGCCUCAGUUGCCGGCUGCCCGGAGGGGCCGCGUCCGGGGAUUCAGCGGGUCACCGGGGUCAGCUCCCUGCCCGGACCGACCCGGUUCUUAGGCCUCUGCUUGGCAUGAAAGCGGUUGGGGCGGCAGGACGUGUCUGGACUGGAGGGUGCGCUUGGGUCUCGCUAGGCCUUUGCCAGCGACUUGCCGCAUGACCUUGCUCGGAUCCCCUCCCCCCACUUCCUGGGCCUCAGUUUUCUCAUCUCCCUCACAGGACGGCCAGGAGGACCAAACCCGGGAAUGGCGGGAAGGACACCAGGAGCACUCUGUGGACUCAAUCCUCCCCAGGCCCAAGAGAGCUGAGGCACGUUCUUCUCUGGCCCCCCAUGGCAGCUACAGCUUGAAGGGACUCAAGAUAAUCUGCAACCAACUUCCUCACUAGGGGUCUCUUUUGUUCACUGAACACCCCUUUCUCAAGCAAGGCUGGGUCCCUCAGCAAGCUCUGGUCACGAGCACCAGGAGAGACCAAGAAGUUGCAAACUUACAAUAAUGCCUACACAUCAAGCCUGUUGGAGACACCUUCACGGAAGAAAGUGCUUCCUACAGUCUAGGCUCAAUUCCCCACUCCUCUCCUGCUCCACCACGGCCCAGGGCUUCCCCCCAGCCUGGCACUUCAUGCCUAGGCCACUCUGAACUCCUAUAGUGCUAAGUGAACAAAAUCCUGCUUGCCCUUACCUUGAGGCCUUUGCAAAUGCUCUUCCAUCUUCCUAGUGCUGUCCCUCAACUCAGCCUGAAGUGGCUCUUCCUUAUAAGGCCAGCCCCAAUGGCCCCUCCUCCUAAAUACCUUCCUGCGACAUUAACACAGGUAGGAAAGACUCGGAGCUUCCAUCCACGUGGUCACUGGCUCUGUCCAUCUGCCCCCAGGGGUGUCAUGUUUGGUAGGGCCAGUGAACGGCUGCUGAAUGAAUGAAUGAUGAGUCCUGAUCUCCCUCCUCUGUUCCCUCUCCCUGGAUGACUUCACUCACUCACCUAUGGGAGAGUCAGAGGCUGACAGUGCCUCUGCCUCCAAUUCCCCCUCUUGUCCUCUGAGACCCUCCCUUUCACACGUACAGCCCACUCUCAUAAAACCAAGAGACUCACAGCCCUUCUGCAUUGGUAGGAAGUUCUUCCUGCUGUCUGUCCUCACUCCCUUAUUUGACCAUGCCUGCUUCUUUAUCAUUAUUUUUGGAGAGGAGUCAGGGCCUGCACCCAUCUCAGAUUUUUGUUAAUAAAGGCUGCGCAUUUCUCCCACUCUCUGCCUAGAUGUGUUCUUGCCACUCCUGGAUCAUUGUGCCCCAGCCUGGCCCUACUUCAGGGGACAGUGACACAGGACGGAGAAAGGACAUAAGGCCAGGCUGGGUAGCCUGGAGUUGCUGGGCCCUGCGGAGAAGACCCAGGACAGAUAUAACCACCACAAGGGAAG